GGACCUUUAAGUUAUUUAAACUAUUAGACUUCAAAUCUUAAAAAGGAAAUUGUUUUUUCAGGGUUCG
This 67-nucleotide transfer RNA is filed under the name Cultellus attenuatus. Its description in RNAcentral is "tRNA-Trp". The record is from RNAcentral. Lineage: Eukaryota; Metazoa; Mollusca; Bivalvia; Adapedonta; Cultellidae.